GUGAAUCAUCGAAUUUUUGAACGCAAAUUGCACUUUUUGGUAUUCCGGAAAGUAUGCCUGUUUGAGAGUCAGUGAAAUAAUAAUCGGUGUUGUUGCCGCUAUUUGUGGUUACGGGCCGGAAUUGGGGUGUCUUACCUUUGGUGAAGUGAGUUAAAAUUUUGCAUGAUUUUCGAAUGUAUUUAAAUUUCUUACUGACGUUUGAGGUA
RNAcentral lists this unclassified non-coding RNA (206 nucleotides) under Glomus sp. Its description in RNAcentral is "partial contains 5.8S ribosomal RNA and internal transcribed spacer 2". The stretch from base 1 to 71 matches the Rfam family "5.8S ribosomal RNA", at positions 84 to 154 of the family's 154-position model. Lineage: Eukaryota; Fungi; Glomeromycota; Glomeromycetes; Glomerales; Glomeraceae. The record is from RNAcentral.